This 434-nucleotide ribosomal RNA is filed under the name uncultured Pelotomaculum sp. RNAcentral's name for it is "bacterial SSU rRNA". It matches the Rfam family "Bacterial small subunit ribosomal RNA", at positions 948 to 1382 of the family's 1533-position model. Lineage: Bacteria; Bacillati; Bacillota; Clostridia; Eubacteriales; Desulfotomaculaceae. The record is from RNAcentral.
AAUUCGAAGCAACGCGAAGAACCUUACCAGGUCUUGACAUCCCGAUGCUAUUCUAGAGAUGAAAGUUACUUCGGUACAUCGGUGACAGGUGGUGCAUGGGUUGUCGUCAGCUCGUGUCGUGAGAUGUUGAGUUAAGUCCCGCAACGAGCGCAACCCCUACGUUUAGUUGCUAACGCGUGAAGGCGAGCACUCUAGACGAACUGCCGUUGGACAAAACGGAGGAAGGUGGGAUGACGUCAAAUCAUCAUGCCCCUUAUGUUCUGGGCUACACACGUGCUACAAUGGCCGGUACAGACGGACGCAAAGCCGCGAGGUGGAGCAAAUCCUAAAAAGCCGGUCUCAGUUCGGAUUGCAGGCUGCAAUUCGCCUGCAUGAAGUCGGAAUCGCUAGUAAUCGCAGGUCAGCAUACUGCGGUGAAUACGUUCCCGGGCCUU